Molecule: long non-coding RNA, 3310 nt
Filed under: Daphnia pulex (common water flea)
Lineage: Eukaryota; Metazoa; Arthropoda; Branchiopoda; Diplostraca; Daphniidae
Description: uncharacterized LOC124190578, transcript variant X1
Source: RNAcentral
UAUUUACGAUGAAGGAGUUGGGUCGCCCAUGAGAACGGACGGAUUAUUGGCGCACAAUCCAGCAUCAAAAUCGUCCUGCGUUUCGCACUCAACGGCGCGGAAACCUAUUUCACUGUUGAUGGACUCGACAAAGUUGAAAUUGACCGCCGUUGGGGUAAAAGUCAAUAUGUCCGAUAGGUGGUAAAAAGCCUUGCUGGUCGUGCAGCAAUGUGCCGCCGUUUGUGUGAAUGAUAUCGACAAAGUCACCGUCUGUCGUGUCCAGUCGCGUCUCCGUGUCGUUGAGGGUGAACAAAGGUCCGGCUGGGUCCAGUCCUGCCAUGCGUUUAUUUCGACUGACUGCCGCUCCUGCACCGCCUACGACGUGAGCCCCAAGGCUAUGACCCAUCAAGUGAAUGGAGCUAAACGACGUUUCCGUAUUCUCGACGAGGAAAUCAAUGAAUUGUCUUUUCCAGCGCAAAAAUAGGAUAUUCGAUACCUGAUGCCAAAACGGACCAAUCAAUGGCGAUGAAAUUGCAAUGUUCACGUUGUAGGCGCCAGACAAGUAAUUAUCCCAGGAAUCACAAAAAAUAGAACGGAAUCCUAUCUCGGUUGUUAUGGAUUCAGUAAAAUAAUCGACAGCUCGGCAGUGGGCGCAGCAUCCUGUAAAAAGCGCUGACACCGUCACAUCCAGGUUGGACAAGUCCGCCAUUUGGGAAAAAAUCUAUGUGGCCAAUGGGUACCGUGAAGCGACCUUCCGUGUGGAUGAUGUCGACGAAAUGAGCGUCAGUCGUGUCCAGCCUCCCAUCAGUAUCUUCUAGCGGAUAAAACUCGUCAGUGUGAGAGGGAUCUAGACCUGUAUUAGUAUUUUAGUUAUUUUGUACCUUAUUUUGCAUUUGCAUUAAAUUUAAUAAGUACGAUUAUUGAUUACCUGUGAUUCUGGCUACCCUCUCUCCAGAUGUAACUGCGGCUCCGGCAAACCCAACCACAUGCGCCCCAAAACUAUUUUAAAUAUUUCAAGAAAAACUUUUUGAAGUCCGCUAACAUCGUAAUCGGAGUAAUACCUGUGACCAAUAAGGUGAAAAUCGUCUAGUGUUGCCCCUUCAGUCACGAGAAAAUUGAUAAAUUUGCCGGUGAGCAUUCCAGCUAGCGGCACGUAAUUGGUAGAGACAUAAGAAUAAUUCCCUGUUGCCAUGGUGGACCAAUCGAUGGCAAUAAAGUUGCAGUCCUGCCGCUCCAAAUAUCCUUUGAAGUAGGUUGGCAUCAUAUUUUCAAUAAUCUAAAUAGAUUCCCUGCAAUUAAGGUCUAUUACCGUCUUUUGUGGGGUAGCUAUACGUGGGAGAACCGUUGAGUCCAUGAGCAAAGAACUUGGUUUUCAGACUGUUGUUGUAAUUGGAUUGGUGCAGUAAAGUGGCAUUGUCCAGUUCAAGUAUUUGAGGCUCAUUGGGAUUUUCCCUGUUGAAAACUACCGUUUCUUAGGGAUGAACGAUUUUAUUAAUAGUUUUUCUAUACCUUGUAAACAAUUGGAAGUGAAUUUCCUCUAUUAGUUCCUCGGUUGUUCCUGCUUUCACUUUCAAUUGAAUGUUUCUCCAUUAAUUUCACUUUUCCCCUUUUUUUAAAUUGUGGUAAGUUUUGUAAGUUGAGAAAGGAACUCACCAGAACCAACGCGAGGCAAUUCAAUUAGCCAAAAAAGGGAACUAACACCCAAAAGCCAUCUGUUGAUAAAAAGCAUUCUUUUAUUAGUUUAUUUAUGCUGUUAGGUAUUGUGAUUUAGGGUAAAAUAAAGAAUUUUCUAAUGAAUUUCAAGUUGGUGUUAGACUUCUCGUUACGGCGUCUCGGUAACAGUUGUCAUUGACUGAAAUAAUAAAGUUCAGCAAAAUGGUAAAGAAUUCUUAUCAGUAAUGGAGAGACGCGACAAGUAUAGAUUGUGUGAAUUGACAUAAUCACAUCGGAGAUAAAAGAACGAGAUCACAGACGGGACAGGGAUAUAUAAACGCUACGGGACAGGGAUAUAUAAACGCAGCUCCACUUAAUCGUCAAAUUAAUUCGUUUUAGCCUACUUUUCAAAUUGAUACUUCAUUCAAAUUUUGUACUUCAUGGUUUGACUGUUUGAGACACUUUUGCUUGCAGCAUGAGGUACAGUAUGAAGUAUGAAGUAAGCAACUUACCCUUAUUAAGAUGUGUAUUGUGUAACUUGGGAGCAGACAAAGUUUCCCAAGAGGAUUCCAUUUAGUAGGGCAUUUAGCCCAAACAAAGCUGUCACAUUCUUAAUGCUGCUCUCCAACUAUCAAUGGCCAUCGAAACCUACAAAAAAAAAGAAAGGUUUAUCAUAGGUAAGGCACAGUGCAGAGUAACAGGGAUAAAGUUAAAAUGGUGAUACGUAGAGGUAGCAGAAGACGAUAUUUCGUCAACAAUCUGGAAUCACUAACAGGGAUGGAACUGGAGGUGGGGCCAGGUGAGGCUUGAAAGAAAACCAAGAUGGCCGCCCUGGUUUGCGAACCCAUCCCCCUCCUUUUCUUUGUCAGUGAUUCCCCCUCCCUUUCCAUGCAGAAUGGGCAAUGUGUGUGUUGACAAUUCGUCUGUGUCGUGUCUCGUGUUAUUAGUUCCUUCGUGUUAGUUAGUUCCAAUAGGGCGCCAUUGGUUAUAGACUUAUAGUUAAGUGUUCCUAGUUAGACUACUUUGUAGUCUGUGGUUAAAAGUUAAAAGAAUAGCAAACAAAUGGUGAGUUACAGUGUUGACUGUGCAAGUGUCGUCGGCCAGGAAUUUGGUCACUUUUACGCUUGGUGUUUCUUGCGGAUUGUGAAUAACGUUCGUGUCUAUUAUUUGAUCGAGUGUACGAUUGUCAAAAUCUCAGUGACGAUAUUCAUGCUGCGAUGCAACCUUACCUACUUCCCUCAAUUUCAGUGGAAAUUAUUCAGAAUGGUCACCGCCUAGAGUGUCUACACUCUACACUUGUGGUGGUGUGAUUGUGAUGGUAAUUCUCAGCAUUUUGCAUUUUGAUAAUUACAGCUGAAGUUUUAAUGAGACCCGGUGGUCAUGACAAUAGAAAUAAAAUGGUCUAAUCCAAUAAUGCAAGCUAAUUCUUCUAAAGCUCAGGAGUUUCUAUUUAUUGCGAGGUUAACUUUUUGCUGUAAAGGUUGUAGUAAAUCUCCAAGUUAUUGAUGCCUUCCCCGGAUCCAAUACUUUACUGCUACCUGCUAUCUGUUUUACAAACAACAUGAGAAAGCUGCCGCUCAAGAAGUUGUGGUGACUAUCGCUUAGUUCAGAUUUAGGAAAAUGUAAGAUUGACAGAUUUGAGGUUAAUCCCUCGCCGCUGUGAUAGUCGUUUGGAAAC